CAUUCUUCACCAGUGUAGGUUAGGUUGGGCCUGGGUGAGUGAAUUCAACAACUGACUUGUCAAUUAAUGAGUGAGAUUAGUGAGGUCAAUUUGUGAAGGAGCAUUUAUCCAUUUCAAUUUAUUAGACCAUAAGCGUGCUAAUAGUGGGCUAACAGUUAGCAUGGUAAUACUAUGAGAAGUUCAGUUUUAAUUAAUCUGAUGUGAAGCUUCGCUUUUUAACAGAUUCAGUCCUGCUGAAUCCACAAGUUUAUUAUUAAGUGUUGUUAUUAUUUUGUUGGUAAUUAUUAUUAAGAAAUCCAUUUUA
Pimephales promelas (fathead minnow) is the source of this 304-nucleotide non-coding RNA. The record is from RefSeq and is a predicted model, not a curated record. Lineage: Eukaryota; Metazoa; Chordata; Actinopteri; Cypriniformes; Leuciscidae.